This 77-nucleotide transfer RNA is filed under the name Rhodocyclaceae bacterium. RNAcentral describes it as "tRNA-Gln". It matches the Rfam family "tRNA". Rfam says of the family: Transfer RNA (tRNA) molecules are approximately 80 nucleotides in length. Their secondary structure includes four short double-helical elements and three loops (D, anti-codon, and T loops). Further hydrogen bonds mediate the characteristic L-shaped molecular structure. tRNAs have two regions of fundamental functional importance: the anti-codon, which is responsible for specific mRNA codon recognition, and the 3' end, to which the tRNAs corresponding amino acid is attached (by aminoacyl-tRNA synthetases). tRNAs cope with the degeneracy of the genetic code in two manners: having more than one tRNA (with a specific anti-codon) for a particular amino acid; and 'wobble' base-pairing, i.e. permitting non-standard base-pairing at the 3rd anti-codon position. RNAcentral also lists the same sequence under 1 other name. Lineage: Bacteria; Pseudomonadati; Pseudomonadota; Betaproteobacteria; Rhodocyclales; Rhodocyclaceae. The record is from RNAcentral.
UGGGGCUUCGCCAAGUUGGUUAAGGCACCGGAUUUUGAUUCCGGCAUUCCCAGGUUCGAAUCCUGGAGCCCCAGCCA